Molecule: unclassified non-coding RNA, 237 nt
Filed under: uncultured fungus
Lineage: Eukaryota; Fungi
Description: partial contains 5.8S ribosomal RNA, internal transcribed spacer 2, and large subunit ribosomal RNA
Source: RNAcentral
AACGCACAUUGCGCCCCUUGGUAUUCCUUGGGGCAUGCCUGUUCGAGCGUCAUUUACACCACUCAAGCCCCGUGCUUGGUCCUGGGGUGCGCCGGUCCUCCCGGCCCCCCCAAUCCCAGUGGCGGCAGCCCUGACCCCUCCGCGCAGUAACACAUCUCGCGGCCGGGGCGCGGCCUGCGGACCAGAAGCCUUUCUAUGGUUGACCUCGGAUCAGGUAGGGAUACCCGCUGAACUUAA